Sphagnurus paluster is the source of this 84-nucleotide non-coding RNA. The record is from the annotation of a GenBank genome assembly. NCBI's taxonomy places the organism in Eukaryota, Fungi, Basidiomycota, Agaricomycetes, Agaricales, Lyophyllaceae.
GCCGCGUUGGCGUAGUGGUAGCGCGUCUCACUUGUACGUUUAGAUGCAAUGAGAAGGUCAUUCGUUCAAUCCGGGUACGUGGCA